This 253-nucleotide unclassified non-coding RNA is filed under the name uncultured bacterium. RNAcentral describes it as "contains 16S-23S intergenic spacer region". It matches the Rfam family "Bacterial small subunit ribosomal RNA", at positions 524 to 776 of the family's 1533-position model. The record is from RNAcentral.
GACAGAGGGUGCAAGCAUUGCUCGGAAUUAUUGGGCGUAAAGGGUACGUAGGCGGGUAAGUAAGUUUAUGGUGAAAUCUCGAAAGGUAAAUUCGAAAGUGCUGUAAAUACUGCUUAUCUAGAGAAUGGGAGAGGUAAACGGAAUUUCUGUAGUAGGGGUCAAAUCCAUAGAUCACAGAAGGAACACCAAAGGCGAAGGCAGUUUACUGGAACAUUUCUGACGCUGAGGUACGAAAGCGUGGGGAGCAAAUAGG